UUGACUGUUUUGUUUUGGUUGCUCAGAGCGUCUUGUGCGUUUGUAUAAAAGGUUCAGAGGGCCCGCCGCCCCCGGCGGGGGGUCAGGGGGCCCGGCUAGGGGCCCCCCUUCCCGCCCGCCGGAAGCAACGAGAACAGACUGGGGUACGGUUGGCAAGGGUUGGGAGUUGUGAAAACUCGGUAAUGAUCCCUCCGCUGGUUCACCAACGGAGA
This 212-nucleotide unclassified non-coding RNA is filed under the name uncultured fungus. RNAcentral's name for it is "sequence contains ITS1". Lineage: Eukaryota; Fungi. The record is from RNAcentral.